This 537-nucleotide ribosomal RNA is filed under the name Penaeus pulchricaudatus. Its description in RNAcentral is "partial large subunit ribosomal RNA". It matches the Rfam family "Bacterial large subunit ribosomal RNA", at positions 1809 to 2608 of the family's 2925-position model. The record is from RNAcentral. Lineage: Eukaryota; Metazoa; Arthropoda; Malacostraca; Decapoda; Penaeidae.
AAAAACAUGUCUAUAUGAUUGUUAUAUAAAGUCUAGCCUGCCCACUGAUUUGUUUUAAAGGGCCGCGGUAUAUUGACCGUGCGAAGGUAGCAUAAUCAUUAGUCUUUUAAUUGGAGGCUUGUAUGAAUGGUUGGACAAAAAGUAAGCUGUCUCGGUUAUAAUAAUUGAACUUAACUUUUAAGUGAAAAGGCUUAAAUGUUUCAGGGGGACGAUAAGACCCUAUAAAGCUUGACAAUAAUUUCGUUAUAUUAUAAAUUGUUAGUAUAACUUGAUUUUAACGGGAGUUUGUUUCGUUGGGGCGACGGGAAUAUAAUAAAUAACUGUUCUUUUAAAUAUAAUUACAAAAAUACUUGGUAAACAAUUGAUCCUCUAUUAGAGAUUAAAAGAUUAAGUUACUUUAGGGAUAACAGCGUAAUCUUCUUUGAGAGUCCACAUCGACAAGAAGGUUUGCGACCUCGAUGUUGAAUUAAGGUAUCCUUAUAAUGCAGCAGUUAUAAAGGAGGGUCUGUUCGACCUUUAAAUCCUUACAUGAUCUGA